Molecule: microRNA precursor, 100 nt
Filed under: Fukomys damarensis (Damara mole-rat)
Lineage: Eukaryota; Metazoa; Chordata; Mammalia; Rodentia; Bathyergidae
Description: miRNA (ENSFDAG00000005334.1)
Source: RNAcentral
CAAAAUAUCUUCUUGGGGUCAGGAUGGUCUCUGAAAUCUGGGGCAAGUAUAAACCUUCAGGAGCUCAUAGUGGCAACUGUUAUGAAGACUGUUUGGCUGG